GGAGAUAUUAAAAAAAAAUUUAAGAAUUUAAUAUCUUUUAUAAGUUCAAGCCAUUAAAGAAUCGAGCUGGAAUUUGAAUCCAGAAUGGUUUGUCUCUAAGACUGACCUGUUUUCAGUGAGUAGUACUGCCUCUUCAAAUCACCAGUGGCAUAAUUCUAUAUCCUGCUUUAGCAUAUUUUUCUCUAAAAAUUAUUUUCCACAAGCUCUGUUUAUGAGAAAAUAAAAUAGCAGAUUUUUCAGUAUUCAGAUUUAAACCUACCCACAGGGAAUAUUUUGCUCAGACUAAUAUCAUCUAAUCGGGCACUUACUCUUUUCAUGCAAAAUCCUGCUCAGGUCAUGGGUUAAAACAGCCAUUCAAAGCACACCUUCCUUCUGGGUACUCACGGCAAAUCUUUUCUUUCUAAAAACAUGAGUUCACGCUAUGGCUUUUUUCCCCCCUUUGGUAUAAAAAAAUACCUUACAAGGUAUUUCUAAGGUUUCUAAAAAUGAUGUCACAUGAUUUUUUGGUUCUGACUUUCAGCAUGCAAAAUCAUUUUUAAUGUUAUUAAUCUUAAAAAAAAAAUAGCCUUAGUACAUAUGAUAACACCCAACUUUAUGGUCAUCAAAAUACAUACAUCUAUAUAUUUUGAGAGCCUCUCCGUGUGCCAGGAUUACUCUUUGGUACUAGGGAGAAAGUGAUCCAUAUUAGAAAUUGCUCACUGUCCUGCGUAAACAUGUGCUCUAGGGUGGAAGCAGGAGAGUAAAUUGUAAGCACCAUACAGACUGGAGUGUUACCUUAAGAUAAGUAGAAGGUGCAGUUAAUCAAACUGGGGGUAUUAAAAAAGAAUUAUCCAAAGGGUUUAUAACCUAAGCUGAAUAUUGAAGAUGGGUACCUGGGGUUAGGCAGAUAGAGAAAGUUGAGGUAAGCCCAGGUAACCAUUAAUUUAAUAUAUGGAUAACAAACAUGGGAUGAACAGAAAAGACUCUGCAUUUGAAAAUAUAUGUUUUAAAUACAUUUCCAUAAAAUAUAGUUGAAUUUCUCAGUUGCAUGUGUGGGGCAAAAGGUCUAUAUUCCAAUGAGCCUCACUGUUUUUUGGAGCCUUUUCUAGAUUACAAAUGAGAAAAUAGUGAAUUUAUUGAGGGCAGGGUGUAUUGUGAAGGUAGCUAAAUAGCUGGCAUAAUAUGAUUUCAGAAUCAAAUUUUGAUGACCGGAUCUGUGAUGUCAGCACACAUAUGGCUUAAACAAGCAAGAGUUAUAUUUAUGGAUUCUGUCCGACAGUCUUUUUGGAUGGCAGGAUUUUGAACUUCCAUUAUAUUUCCCUAUUUCAUGUGUUUGCAUAUUUAAUUUACCUGCUCUUUUUUCUACUGAGAACAUGCACUACUGUACUGCACUACUAUUUUAAUAGAGAAGUUAGAAGUAGGAGUGUGUUCAAAUGUCACAAUUCAGGAGUUCCAUUGUGGAUCAGCAGGUUAAGGACCCAAUGUUGUCUCUGUGAGGAUAUAGGUUUGAUCCCUGGCCUUACUCGGUGGGUUAAGGAUUCUGCUUUGCCUCAAGCUAUGGCAUAAGUCAUAUCUCGGAUCUGGUGUUGCUGUGUCUAUGAUGUAGGCCUCAGCUACAGCUCCAAUUCAGCCCCUAGCCUGGGUACCUUUAUAUGCAGCAGAUGUGGCUGUAAAAAUUUUUUUUAAAAAGUGACAGUUUAUGAAUUCAAAAUCUUCAUCCUUGUAUAACUAUGUAUAUAGGUCUUCUCUUUCCUCAUUACUGUUCCUCUCUGCAAAAAUUAGUUCAGAAUAAUUCCACCAAUGAAAAAUAAUGUAAUGUAAUUUCUGCUGCUAUUUACCAUUAUCAAAUAUGCAGGUAUUAAGUCUUUUUAUAAUUACUUAAAAUAUAACUUGACAGUAGCAAAUGUUGAGAGGUUUGUUGUUGUUUAAAUUCCAAAAGCAUUUUGCCACUAACUUUUUUAAAUAAAGCAUUGAAAAGAGUGUGGGUGUGAAGCCCUUCAGAGAAAUCGUUCAGGUCAUCUGCUGAAAGCCUCAGUCUCAUCUCACUUGGUUGUCUGGAAGCCACGUGUCUCUUACUUGGAAACUCUGAUGACAGUGCAUGCAAGUUGUGACAUGGUUUACUUCCUUUCAUUUUAACUCUCGAUGAUUUUCCCAGGAAGAACUAGCUUGUGAUCUAUCUACACUGCACCACUCCCUGUCAUUUGUUCAGAGUGGAUUUGGUCAUUGCAGUUCUUUGGAACAGCUCUUUUGGGUUAAAUAUUUUGGAUGAGUUGGAAAGAUCUUAUCCCAGCUUACUGUAGUCUAAAACAAUAUCUUGGCAAUCACCUACGCCCUCCUGGAGAAAACAUAUUGCUGCAGAUUCUGCCUUGAAAUGUUAGCUGAGGGGCCUUUAGAGGACUAUAUUUCGUUGGAUUUUAACUCCUUGGAAAAUUCUUCAACUCAUUCUCAAUGUUUUAACCAAUGUAUGUAAGUAGAAAAUUUAUCCAAGAAAUUAAGCUCUACUCCCCACCCACAUCAAUGGACAGAUCCUCUAGACAGAAAAUGAAUAAGGCAACAGAGAUCCUAAAUGGCACAGUAGAAAAGUUAGACUUAAUUGACAUUUUCAGGACAUUACAUUCAAAAAAAUAAGAAUAUACAUUCUUCUCAAGUGCACAUAGUACAUUCUCAAGGAUUGACCACAUACUGGGGAACAAAACUAACCUCAACAAAUUUAAGAGUAUAGAAAUUAUUUCAAGUAUCUUCUCUGACCACAACGGCAUGAAACUAGAAAUCAACCACAGGAAAAGAAAUGAGAGAAAACUAAUUACAUGCUACUAAAAAAACUAAUGGGUCAAUGAGGAAAUCACAAAGAAAAUUAAAAAAUACCUUGAUACAAAUGAUAAUGAAAACACAACCAUUUGAAAUCAAUGGGAUGCCACAAAAUCAGUGCUUAGAGGGAAGUUCAUAGUGAUACAGGCCUUCCUCAGAAAAGAAGAAAAAUCUCAAAUCAACAACUUAACCUACCCCCUAAAA
Molecule: long non-coding RNA, 2991 nt
Filed under: Sus scrofa (pig)
Lineage: Eukaryota; Metazoa; Chordata; Mammalia; Artiodactyla; Suidae
Description: lncRNA (ENSSSCG00055013250.1)
Source: RNAcentral